Non-coding RNA from Pseudonaja textilis, 146 nucleotides. The record is from RefSeq and is a predicted model, not a curated record. Lineage: Eukaryota; Metazoa; Chordata; Lepidosauria; Squamata; Elapidae.
CGAGGCCCCCCAAACGGAGACGCCGCCGCCGCUGCUGCCGGCAGACCCAGAGCGGGCAGCUGCUUCGGCGAGGUGGACUGGAAUUCCUGUACCUACCAUAUGAGGCUGUAACAGAGAUACAAGAAAUUAUUUGAGCAUUUAGAGAA